CUUAUGUAUGUAACUUUCUAAAAGUUACUAAGCCUCAUUUCAGAAUGCAUACAUUAAAGAUAUAGUGACAGCAAUGUCAAGAAAAGUAUUUGACAGAAUGAGCACGUGUAUGUGAGACUUGAGUGCGAUUAUGUAGCCAUAAAUAUCUUGAGUGUGCCAAGAGUAAUCGGGAAGGAGGAGCCAAAGCUGUGCAGGUUUGGGAGAAGCAUCUGGACAGUAAGCAAGUUGUCACAGUUCUUCAUACUGUGCAGACAGUAGUGGGGCUACCAUCACCACAGUUGUUCAUAAUUUGUAGAACGUGUAACGUGACUAAGUCAUUUCACAACUAACACGGUUAAUCUGUAAAUGUUCUUAUUCCUAAUAAGGCUUAAAAUAAACUUGUGGGAGGCACACAUUAAGAUUUUGUCAUUAUUUACUGUAACUUUAAGAUUAUAUUGUUUUUUAUAUGUUUGUUCUUCAUUUCCCAUGCAUAUAAAUUUUAUCAAAGUCAGGGGUUUUUUUUGUUUGUUUGUUUUUGUUUUAUCAGAGCACUGCUCAACUCUGUCUUAUGGUGAUGAUGAAGAUUGAACUGUGGACUUUCAUUCUUUUGUGCUUAAGAGUUUUUUUUUAGCAUGAGUCAUUUCCUAUUUCUCAGGCCCCCAAACAAAUUCUGUAUACUCAGCAAGGAGAAGUGGAUGUAGAUGAAGUCACUGAUUUCAGUUCCUUCUAGAGUCUAGGGGCAUAAGCAGAUUGGGAACACACACUGGCCGAGUACCCUGUGCGACAAGCUGUGGUGAAGCAUGUGCAGUGGAGUCCACUAGCUAUAGGUCCUAUAAGCAGAUUGUGGGGAACAAAUUGGGCCAGAGGGUGGGCCAAGCCCAGCCCUAUGAAAGUGCCUAACAGUUUAUUGGGAUAAAUAGCUUACAAGGCAUUUGUUGUCACAUGUAGAAAGGGUUCUUCCCUCUCCCUUGAUAGGUGUCUGCACCCCUCACCCAUCAGCAAGUAGAGUUUUCUCAACCAUAGUGCAAUUGGUCAAUUCUAACACAUUCUCGAACACUAUUCAGGACAUCCCACAUAAGAAUGUCGGUAAUUCAGCUGGAAGUACAUCUCACAGCAGAAAUUGUGCUUUAAAAAGACAUGGAGAUGGUUUUCAUAAAAAAUGUCCUGAUUUGAAGGGCAUCAAUAACGUCAGAAAGUCUGCUUCUAACAAAGCAGUAGCAAUGAAAAAAAUACAAAAACUACAAUCAGAUCUAAAGUCUUCAUUGGCAUUCGAAGAGACUGGAACAAAUGGCCUUGGGGAUUCUAAGGAGGGUAGACAGGGGGAGAGAAAGAUAGACACCAGAAGACCUGUUUUGGAUGAUGCCCAGUUCCUACAGAGGCCUGUGGUUGUGGAUAAACCCACCAUAACCCCACCAGUAAAAGUUCCAGUCCACCUAUUUAAUGUUAUUCCAUCCAAUAAAUCUAAUAAGUCCAUUUCAGAAAAUGCAGUAUUUGCAAAGG
This is a long non-coding RNA of Erinaceus europaeus (western European hedgehog), 1479 nucleotides long. RefSeq lists it as uncharacterized. The record is from RefSeq and is a predicted model, not a curated record. Lineage: Eukaryota; Metazoa; Chordata; Mammalia; Eulipotyphla; Erinaceidae. The transcript has 6 exons.